AGAAUCAACGCUGGCGGCGCGCUUAACACAUGCAAGUCGAACGAGAAAGUGGAGCAAUCCAUGAGUAAAGUGGCGUACGGGUGAGUAACACGUGGAUUAUCUGCCCUUGAGUGGGGAAUAACAAUGGGAAACCGUUGCUAAUACCGCAUAUUCCCGAGAGGGGAAAGCAGCAAUGCGCUCAAGGAGGAGUCCGCGGCCGAUUAGCUAGUUGGUAGGGUAAUGGCCUACCAAGGCUUCGAUCGGUA
RNAcentral lists this ribosomal RNA (245 nucleotides) under uncultured bacterium. Its description in RNAcentral is "partial small subunit ribosomal RNA". It matches the Rfam family "Bacterial small subunit ribosomal RNA", at positions 26 to 285 of the family's 1533-position model. The record is from RNAcentral.